AAGGCAAUGAGAACAGGCAGAUGUUUC
Molecule: non-coding RNA, 27 nt
Filed under: Cricetulus griseus (Chinese hamster)
Lineage: Eukaryota; Metazoa; Chordata; Mammalia; Rodentia; Cricetidae
Source: RNAcentral